RNAcentral lists this ribosomal RNA (330 nucleotides) under Citrobacter freundii. RNAcentral describes it as "bacterial SSU rRNA". It matches the Rfam family "Bacterial small subunit ribosomal RNA", at positions 102 to 435 of the family's 1533-position model. The record is from RNAcentral. Lineage: Bacteria; Pseudomonadati; Pseudomonadota; Gammaproteobacteria; Enterobacterales; Enterobacteriaceae.
ACGGGUGAGUAAUGUCUGGGAAACUGCCCGAUGGAGGGGGAUAACUACUGGAAACGGUAGCUAAUACCGCAUAACGUCGCAAGACCAAAGAGGGGGACCUUCGGGCCUCUUGCCAUCGGAUGUGCCCAGAUGGGAUUAGCUAGUAGGUGGGGUAACGGCUCACCUAGGCGACGAUCCCUAGCUGGUCUGAGAGGAUGACCAGCCACACUGGAACUGAGACACGGUCCAGACUCCUACGGGAGGCAGCAGUGGGGAAUAUUGCACAAUGGGCGCAAGCCUGAUGCAGCCAUGCCGCGUGUAUGAAGAAGGCCUUCGGGUUGUAAAGUACUU